Molecule: ribosomal RNA, 369 nt
Filed under: uncultured archaeon
Lineage: Archaea
Description: bacterial SSU rRNA
Rfam family: Archaeal small subunit ribosomal RNA
Source: RNAcentral
CUAAAACGUCCGUAGCCGGUUUGGUACAUUCUUGGUUAAAUCCAUUUGCUCAACUAUUGUGAAUGCUGCGAAUACUGACAGACUUGGAGACCGGGAGAGGUGUACGGGACUCUCAGGGUGGGGUAAAUCCUCUGAUCCUGAGAUGACCACCUGUGUGCGAAAGGCGGCCCACCAGAACGGAUCCGACGGGGAGGGAUGAAAACCUGGGGGCACGAACCGGAUUAGAUACCCGGGUAGUCCUAGGUGUAAACGCUGUGGACUUGAUGUUGGGUGUGCUCCGAGCACUGCCAGGGCCGAAGCGAAGGUGAUAAGUCCACUGCCUGGGAAGUACGGUCGCAAGGUUAAAAUUUAAAGGAAUUGGGGGGGGAA